This is a non-coding RNA of Pelodiscus sinensis (Chinese soft-shelled turtle), 496 nucleotides long. The record is from RefSeq and is a predicted model, not a curated record. NCBI's taxonomy places the organism in Eukaryota, Metazoa, Chordata, Testudines, Trionychidae.
GUGCGAUCACUGAAAGCAAAGGAUGGAUCCUUAAUGCUCAUAAGUCACAUUAGCAUCCUGAUGGACACCUGGACCAGUGCGAAAAUUCUCACCUGCGAAGUUAAAUUCAACUCUUCUGGCAAGAGUGUUAAAAAAAGUGCCAGGUUCUUGGAACUUCAUCUCAGCUGGUGUGUGCCGCAGCUAUUGCACCUAGGGGUGGCAGUUUUCCUGGUGGGGUUGAUGGUGUGUCUGAAUGUGGCCUGGAUUUGCUGCUGUUCCAAUCCAGGGUCAAAGCCCAAGUGAAGUUUGAGUCAAGGAGUCCAACCAGAUCAGGAUGCGGUGGCUGGUGGAAGAGAAAAAUCAUAAUCCACACGGAGAUCUGGCAACUCAGAGCUGUUUCACUGCUGACCUCAAUGCAGCAGCCCCUUUUGGGGUUGCCUGCUUGGGCUUGCUGUCUGAACAGAAGUGUGCAAUCUGGGUGUCGUAGCAGUCAGUCUGGAGAGAGGCAGCAGCCUAU